Podarcis lilfordi (Lilford's wall lizard) is the source of this 144-nucleotide non-coding RNA. The record is from the annotation of a GenBank genome assembly. NCBI's taxonomy places the organism in Eukaryota, Metazoa, Chordata, Lepidosauria, Squamata, Lacertidae.
CACCUCCAGCACCAUAAUUCAAAAGCAUCAAUUCUUUGGCAAUCAGCCUUCUGUAUGGACCAGCUCUCACUUCCAUACAUCACUACUGGGAAAAGCAUAGCUUCCCCGAAGAAUUGAUGCUUUUGAAUUAUGGUGCUGGAGGUG